GGGUGACUAGUCUAGUGGUCAGGACGUUUCGUUGUGGCUCUUUCCUUGCGAAUCCGAAGAAACCCCGGUUCGAUUCCGGGGUCGCCCA
Molecule: non-coding RNA, 88 nt
Organism: Chaetomidium leptoderma
Lineage: Eukaryota; Fungi; Ascomycota; Sordariomycetes; Sordariales; Chaetomiaceae
Source: the annotation of a GenBank genome assembly